This 429-nucleotide ribosomal RNA is filed under the name Chloroflexota bacterium. RNAcentral's name for it is "Chloroflexi bacterium partial 16S ribosomal RNA". It matches the Rfam family "Bacterial small subunit ribosomal RNA", at positions 355 to 776 of the family's 1533-position model. Lineage: Bacteria; Bacillati; Chloroflexota. The record is from RNAcentral.
UGGGGAAUAUUGCACAAUGGGCGCAAGCCUGAUGCAGCCAUGCCGCGUGUAUGAAGAAGGCCUUCGGGUUGUAAAGUACUUUCAGCGGGGAGGAAGGGAGUAAAGUUAAUACCUUUGCUCAUUGACGUUACCCGCAGAAGAAGCACCGGCUAACUCCGUGCCAGCAGCCGCGGUAAUACGGAGGGUGCAAGCGUUAAUCGGAAUUACUGGGCGUAAAGCGCACGCAGGCGGUUUGUUAAGUCAGAUGUGAAAUCCCCGGGCUCAACCUGGGAACUGCAUCUGAUACAGGCAAGCUUGAGUCUCGUAGAGGGGGGUAGAAUUCCAGGUGUAGCGGUGAAAGGCGUAGAGAUCUGGAGGAAUGCCGGUGGCGAAGGCGGCCCCCUGGACGAAGACUGACGCUCAGGUGCGAAAGCGUGGGGAGCAAACAGG